Molecule: ribosomal RNA, 443 nt
Filed under: uncultured bacterium
Lineage: Bacteria
Description: partial 16S ribosomal RNA
Rfam family: Bacterial small subunit ribosomal RNA
Source: RNAcentral
CCUACGGGAGGCAGCAGUGGGGAAUAUUGGGCAAUGCGCGCAAGCCUGACCCAGCAACGCCGCGUGAAGGAAGAAGGCCUUCGGGUUGUAAACUUCUUUUCUCAGGGACGAAGAUAGUGACGGUACCUGAGGAAUGAGUCACCGCUAACUACGUGCCAGCAGCCGCCGAAAUACGUAGGAGGCAAGCGUUAUCCGGAUUUAUUGGGUGUAAAGGGCGUGUAGGCGGGAUCGCAAGUCAGCUGUGAAAGUUCAGGGCUCAACCCUGAGACUGCAUUUGAAACUGUGUUUCUAGAGUGCUGGAGAGGCAGGCGGAAUUCCGGGUGUAGCGGUGAAAUGCGUAGAUAUACGGAGGAACACCGGUGGCGAAGGCGGAUUGCUGGACAGUAACUGACGCUGAGGCGCGAAAGCGUGGGGAGCAAACAGGAUUAGAUACCCUAGUAGUC